ACGUACACUCCUGCGGGAGGCAGCAGUGAGGAAUAUUGGACAAUGGGUGGAAGCCUGAUCCAGCCAUCCCGCGUGCAGGAAGACGGCCCUAUGGGUUGUAAACUGCUUUUAUCUGGGGAUAAACCUACUUACGUGUAAGUAGCUGAAGGUACCAGAAGAAUAAGCACCGGCUAACUCCGUGCCAGCAGCCGCGGUAAUACGGAGGGUGCAAGCGUUAUCCGGAUUUAUUGGGUUUAAAGGGUCCGUAGGCGGACUGAUAAGUCAGUGGUGAAAUCCGACAGCUUAACUGUCGAACUGCCAUUGAUACUGUUAGUCUUGAGUAAGGUUGAAGUGGCUGGAAUAAGUAGUGUAGCGGUGAAAUGCAUAGAUAUUACUUAGAACACCAAUUGCGAAGGCAGGUCACUAAGUCUUAACUGACGCUGAUGGACGAAAGCGUGGGGAGCGAACAGGAUUAGAAACCCUGGUAGUCCCAUGA
Molecule: ribosomal RNA, 475 nt
Filed under: uncultured organism
Description: partial 16S ribosomal RNA
Rfam family: Bacterial small subunit ribosomal RNA
Source: RNAcentral